GACGAACGCUGGCGGCGGGCUUAACACAUGCAAGUCGAACGGAAAGGCCCUGCUUUUGUGGGGAUCUCGAGUGGCGAACGGGUGAGUAACACGUGAGUAACCUGCCCUUGACUUUGGGAUAACUUCAGGAAACUGGGGCUAAUACCGGAUAGGAGCUCCUGCUGCAUGGUGGGGGUUGGAAAGUUUCGGCGGUUGGGGAUGGACUCGCGGCUUAUCAGCUUGUUGGUGGGGUAGUGGCUUACCAAGGCUUUGACGGGUAGCCGGCCUGAGAGGUUGACCGGCCACAUUGGGACUGAGAUACGGCCCAGACUCCUACGGGAGGCAGCAGUGGGGAAUAUUGCACAAUGGGCGGAAGCCUGAUGCAGCAACGCCGCGUGCGGGAUGACGGCCUUCGGGUUGUAAACCGCUUUAGCCUGUGACGAAGCGUGAGUGACGGUAAUGGGUAAAGAAGCACCGGCUAACUACGUG
This 468-nucleotide ribosomal RNA is filed under the name uncultured bacterium. RNAcentral describes it as "partial 16S ribosomal RNA". It matches the Rfam family "Bacterial small subunit ribosomal RNA", at positions 28 to 507 of the family's 1533-position model. The record is from RNAcentral.